Molecule: long non-coding RNA, 1239 nt
Organism: Corticium candelabrum
Lineage: Eukaryota; Metazoa; Porifera; Homoscleromorpha; Homosclerophorida; Plakinidae
Exons: 4
Source: RefSeq, a predicted model, not a curated record
UUGCUCAAGUGACGUGAAUCGGCGUUUGCACACAGAUACUGCAGAAAGCGUAGGCUGUCUUUUAGGGUAUGACCACACAAUCGGGUAGUGUCGCUAUCUGAAGAAGAUCUCUGGAAAUCUCGAAGUCCUUUGUAGCAUGUGAAACGACACAUUUCUCGUCCUCCUGGUUUGCCGCAUUCUCCGGGUUUUGCGAGGACUUUCGCUGUAAUCCAGUUAUUUGUGCUACUAGAAUUCAGUUCGUGCGAGAUCCUACCGAUGUACGCCUCGCCGUAAUGGAAGAAUCGAGACCCAAAGAUGGCGGAGUCAGAUGCCAAUUGUAGUUUCUGCCUUUCGCUUUUUGACUAUUGGCCGAUGCCGUGUGACCUGUGGCAUGAUCAUCUCUACUGCAGUAAUGCUAGUGGUGGGCUCUUGAUGUGCUUCUUAUAGCUGCUGGCACUGGAAACAGUCAUACAAGGGAGACUGAUGCAAAUGUUGAAUGGCACACUUCUUGCACAUUAAAUGGUUGCAUUGGAGUUCAACUGGGAUGUUGACAACUUUUCACACAGGGUGCACUUGAACGAGUCAAACAGGGCUUCUGGUGCUGCUGUUUCUAUUUGUUGGAUUAGGUCAGUCAAUUUGAUUGCUGACUGACCUGUGAGAACAAGCUGAUUCUUUUUUCAAUAUUUGGGUGGUCUUCCUUCUUUCUUCUGUUGCUGACAACUACAGCAGGUGUUGCAGUUUUCUGAGUGUACCAUCCACUCUCUGCAGAAAGGUACAAGAAUAGAGGCUCCUUGCCUCUUUGUAAAUCAAUGCAUCACUAGAUGGCAGCAGACACAGAAAUUGACAUUUGUACUGACAUCCUCUCGAUUGAACCUGGGGGCACAUAACCUGCGAAGCUCUCGUACGGAAAGGAUGUGAUGUGCCAUAUCCAUAGACUAGACUGACAACACUUGUAUACUGGUUAACUGUUUCUGUAUACGUCUUAAGUAGUGUAUGGAGUAAGGAAAGGGCAUGAGAGAAUGAUGAGGUAAAGAACUGCUACACGUGUACCAUUCAAAUUCAAGGAACCAGUGUUGGUACACCAGUGUUGGUACACCAUUAGCAAGUUUUUGUGGCAAAGUUUAUUUUACCAUAGAUAUGAUUUUACUUACAUCCCAAGUUGCUAAGAAUAAUAUCUCUAGGCACGUGACCUAGGCCAUCUUGUCAUAUUCUAGUGCUAUUUUAGUAUAAAAUGACCAUGCUUCUGUUCUUGUGUCACCA